GGCGAUGUGGCUUAGUGGUAGAGUGCUUGCCUAACAUGCAUGAAGCCCUGGGUUCAAUUCCUCAGUGCCA
This 70-nucleotide transfer RNA is filed under the name Dipodomys ordii (Ord's kangaroo rat). It matches the Rfam family "tRNA". Rfam says of the family: Transfer RNA (tRNA) molecules are approximately 80 nucleotides in length. Their secondary structure includes four short double-helical elements and three loops (D, anti-codon, and T loops). Further hydrogen bonds mediate the characteristic L-shaped molecular structure. tRNAs have two regions of fundamental functional importance: the anti-codon, which is responsible for specific mRNA codon recognition, and the 3' end, to which the tRNAs corresponding amino acid is attached (by aminoacyl-tRNA synthetases). tRNAs cope with the degeneracy of the genetic code in two manners: having more than one tRNA (with a specific anti-codon) for a particular amino acid; and 'wobble' base-pairing, i.e. permitting non-standard base-pairing at the 3rd anti-codon position. Lineage: Eukaryota; Metazoa; Chordata; Mammalia; Rodentia; Heteromyidae. The record is from Rfam by way of RNAcentral.